GGAAGUAAAAUCGUAACAAGGUUUCCGUAGGUGAACCUGCAGAAGGAUCAUUACCGAAUUGUCAAACGGGUUGUUGCUGGUCUUCAAACGGGGACAUGUGCACGCUCUGUUUACACAUCCACUCACACCUGUGCACCCUCCGUAGUUCUAUGGUCUGGGGGACCCUGUCUUCCUGCCGUGGUUCUACGUCUUUACACACACUCUGUAAUAAAGUCUUAUGGAAUGUAUGCCGCGUCUAACGCAAUACAAUACAACUUUCAGCAACGGAUCUCUUGGCUCUC
Molecule: unclassified non-coding RNA, 281 nt
Filed under: plant metagenome
Description: partial contains small subunit ribosomal RNA, internal transcribed spacer 1, and 5.8S ribosomal RNA
Rfam family: Eukaryotic small subunit ribosomal RNA (bases 1-53)
Source: RNAcentral